UAUAAAAUAAAUAAAAGCCACAAAGCCACGUUUAUUGACUCGCCAGGCGAGGAAACACGCACAAGUGAAGAAAUUCACUGAAUAGUCAGCCGAGGAGGGAGAGUCGGGGAUGUUUAAUCUUGGAGAGGGGCUCACAAUGAUUAAGGCUCGAAAACCAGCACUCCAGAAAUUAAUCUAAAGGUCUGUACCUGGUUGGUUCAAACAAAUCCAUCGUUCAUUGUUGAGGAAAGAGUCUUUAGUUGAGUCCAGUGGGGGUUUGGCGUUUGGGUCCACUUCAGCUGCUUAGAAUCAGUUAUGAUGAAACACAAUAUUUAAUUGUGAUAUCUCCUAGGGCAUGUGUUGCUAUAAGUGGAAAUUUUUCCUGUUUCAAUUCCCGCCUGCUCCUCCUCAAUGGAAGCUCCGUAUAUGACACGUAUGAGCAUAAGAAUGGUGUCAAACCUGCCCAGGAUACCAGAAAUUUCUGUGAAUUUGGAUGAUGAGGAUUAACCAGAGUGUUUCUCUUCACCCCACAACACCUGCUCCUGAAAAGGAAGCAUUUGUUCCUUGCAUGCAAAUCAUUUUGUAUUAAAGAGGCAUCUAAUGAGCAUCGGAUGAAAGUCCCCUGGAGCAGCUUCAACAGUAGAAGAAAAACAAAGGAGAAAACAGCUCAAAUUAGUGCUGAAUGGAUCAACCUACAUUUUCUUGCACC
RNAcentral lists this long non-coding RNA (688 nucleotides) under Equus caballus (horse). RNAcentral's name for it is "lncRNA (ENSECAG00000041509.2)". The record is from RNAcentral. Lineage: Eukaryota; Metazoa; Chordata; Mammalia; Perissodactyla; Equidae.